GCUCACCUGUUCCCAUUCCGAACACAGAAGUUAAGCCCUCUAGCGCCGAUGGUACUGCGUAAGCGGGAGAGUAGGUCGCCGCCAGUU
Molecule: ribosomal RNA, 87 nt
Filed under: Kaistella jeonii
Lineage: Bacteria; Pseudomonadati; Bacteroidota; Flavobacteriia; Flavobacteriales; Weeksellaceae
Source: RNAcentral